This 323-nucleotide unclassified non-coding RNA is filed under the name soil metagenome. RNAcentral's name for it is "partial contains 5.8S ribosomal RNA, internal transcribed spacer 2, and large subunit ribosomal RNA". The stretch from base 1 to 121 matches the Rfam family "5.8S ribosomal RNA", at positions 35 to 154 of the family's 154-position model. The record is from RNAcentral.
GAUGAAAAACGUAGCGAAAUGCGAUAAGUAAUGCGAAUUGCAGAAUUCCAGUGAGUCAUCGAAUCUUUGAACGCACAUUGCGCCCUUUGGUAUUCCGAAGGGCAUGCCUGUUCGAGCGUCAUUAUCACCCCUCAAGUCCCCUGGCUUGGUGUUGGACGGCCUCGUUGGACCCCCGGUACACUGAGUUCUUCACGGGACACGUACUGGAUCAAGGGUGCGCGGAGCACGGUCUCACCUCCCCUCGCGGGAGAACUUUUUUACAAGGUUGACCUCGGAUCAGGUAGGGAUACCCGCUGAACUUAAGCAUAUCAAUAAGCGGAGGA